RNAcentral lists this ribosomal RNA (322 nucleotides) under uncultured eukaryote. RNAcentral's name for it is "partial 18S ribosomal RNA". It matches the Rfam family "Eukaryotic small subunit ribosomal RNA", at positions 1470 to 1796 of the family's 1831-position model. The record is from RNAcentral.
CCCUUAGAUGUUCUGGGCUGCACGCGUGCUACACUGAUAUUGCCAAUAUGUCAUUCUUAUCCGAAAUGGAUUGGGUAAUCAAGUAAUGAAAUUUCAUGCUUGGAAUCGGUAAUUGCAAUUUUAUCGUGAACGAGGAAUUCCUAGUAAGCACUAGUCAUCAGCUAAUGUUGAUUAUGUCCCUGCCCUUUGUACACACCGCCCGUCGCUACUACUGAUUGGGUGUUCAAGUGAGAUGCUUAGACCCUUGUUGCAUGGUUCAUUAUUGUGCUCCGAAGGAAAAAGUUUCAAGCUUGAGUGUCUAGAGGAAGUAAAAGUCGUAACA